AUCUAGCUAACGAAUUCCAAGUAGGACGAAACGCGUGUCCUGGAU
This is a non-coding RNA of Schistosoma mansoni, 45 nucleotides long. Lineage: Eukaryota; Metazoa; Platyhelminthes; Trematoda; Strigeidida; Schistosomatidae. The record is from Rfam.